RNAcentral lists this transfer RNA (68 nucleotides) under Ictidomys tridecemlineatus (thirteen-lined ground squirrel). RNAcentral's name for it is "Spermophilus tridecemlineatus (thirteen-lined ground squirrel) tRNA". It matches the Rfam family "tRNA". Rfam says of the family: Transfer RNA (tRNA) molecules are approximately 80 nucleotides in length. Their secondary structure includes four short double-helical elements and three loops (D, anti-codon, and T loops). Lineage: Eukaryota; Metazoa; Chordata; Mammalia; Rodentia; Sciuridae. The record is from Rfam by way of RNAcentral.
GGGGAUAUAACUAAGUGGUAGAGUGUUUGCCUUGCAUGCAUGAGGCCCUGGGUUCAAUCCCAGCACCA